RNAcentral lists this ribosomal RNA (497 nucleotides) under uncultured bacterium. Its description in RNAcentral is "partial 16S ribosomal RNA". It matches the Rfam family "Bacterial small subunit ribosomal RNA", at positions 28 to 507 of the family's 1533-position model. The record is from RNAcentral.
GAUGAACGCUGGCGGCGUGCCUAAUACAUGCAAGUCGAGCGAACAGACGAGGAGCUUGCUCCUCUGACGUUAGCGGCGGACGGGUGAGUAACACGUGGAUAACCUACCUAUAAGACUGGGAUAACUUCGGGAAACCGGAGCUAAUACCGGAUAAUAUAUUGAACCGCAUGGUUCAAUAGUGAAAGACGGUUUUGCUGUCACUUAUAGAUGGAUCCGCGCCGCAUUAGCUAGUUGGUAAGGUAACGGCUUACCAAGGCAACGAUGCGUAGCCGACCUGAGAGGGUGAUCGGCCACACUGGAACUGAGACACGGUCCAGACUCCUACGGGAGGCAGCAGUAGGGAAUCUUCCGCAAUGGGCGAAAGCCUGACGGAGCAACGCCGCGUGAGUGAUGAAGGUCUUCGGAUCGUAAAACUCUGUUAAUAGGGAAGAACAAAUGUGUAAGUAACUAUGCACGUCUUGACGGUACCCAAUCAGAAAGCCACGGCUAACUACGUG